This 302-nucleotide ribosomal RNA is filed under the name uncultured bacterium. RNAcentral's name for it is "partial 16S ribosomal RNA". It matches the Rfam family "Bacterial small subunit ribosomal RNA", at positions 508 to 808 of the family's 1533-position model. The record is from RNAcentral.
GCAGUAGCCGCGGGAAUACAGAGGGUGCGAGCGUUAAUCGGAUUUACUGGGCGUAAAGCGUGCGUAGGCGGCUUCUUAAGUCGGAUGUGAAAUCCCUGAGCUUAACUUAGGAAUUGCAUUCGAUACUGGGAAGCUAGAGUAUGGGAGAGGAUGUAGAAUUCCAGGUGUAGCGGUGAAAUGCGUAGAGAUCUGGAGGAAUACCGAUGGCGAAGGCAGCCAUCUGGCCUAAUACUGACGCUGAGGUACGAAAGCAUGGGGAGCAAACAGGAUUAGAUACCCCCGUAGUCCCUGUCUCUUAUACA